UCGCACGUACGGUUCUUAGAGGGGGAAAGCUCGAGAGAGCCUACCUAUCUCGACUAUUUAAUUCGAUAAUCCGCGAAAAAUCUUACCACAAUUUGUAUAAUAUUAAAUUAUUACAAGGUUGCACGGCUGUCUGCAGUUAAUGUCGUGAGACAUGGUUAAUUCCUUUAAUUAACGCAAACCCUUACUUUAUUUAUCUAUAUAAAGUAACUCGCUAAAAAAAUGGUUAGAGAAUAGGGACCAAGACAAGUCAUCAUGACCAUAAUAUUGUGGGCUAUAGACGUGCCACACAUGCCUUAACAAAAGGAUGCUAUAUUGUAAAAUGGAGCUAAUCCUUAAAAUAGGAUAUAAUAUGGAUUGUUGUCUGUAACUCGACAACAUGAAUAAGGAAUUACUAGUAAUCGUGAAUCACCACGUCACGGUGAAUUUAUAAUCAGUUAGGUACUAACCACUCGUCAGGCGCUGAAAGAAGUAUGUGCAAUAAGUUUGAUUUGUGUUUAUUUUAAUAAAUAUUAUAAUAUAUUUAUAUUUUACAUUAAAUUUUCGUAUGUAUGACUUUAAUUGGUGUUAAGUCGCAAUAAGGUUCGUGUAAUGGAAAUUGCACGGG
Molecule: non-coding RNA, 604 nt
Filed under: Blastomyces gilchristii SLH14081
Lineage: Eukaryota; Fungi; Ascomycota; Eurotiomycetes; Onygenales; Ajellomycetaceae
Description: Ajellomyces dermatitidis SLH14081 Bacterial small subunit ribosomal RNA
Rfam family: Bacterial small subunit ribosomal RNA
Source: Rfam by way of RNAcentral